GAUGAACGCUGGCGGCGUGCCUAAUACAUGCAAGUCGAACGCUUUGUGGUUCAACUGAUUUGAAGAGCUUGCUCAGAUAUGACGAUGGACAUUGCAAAGAGUGGCGAACGGGUGAGUAACACGUGGGAAACCUACCUCUUAGCAGGGGAUAACAUUUGGAAACAGAUGCUAAUACCGUAUAACAAUGACAACCGCAUGGUUGUUAUUUAAAAGAUGGUUCUGCUAUCACUAAGAGAUGGUCCCGCGGUGCAUUAGCUAGUUGGUAAGGUAAUGGCUUACCAAGGCGAUGAUGCAUAGCCGAGUUGAGAGACUGAUCGGCCACAAUGGGACUGAGACACGGCCCAUACUCCUACGGGAGGCAGCAGUAGGGAAUCUUCCACAAUGGGCGAAAGCCUGAUGGAGCAACGCCGCGUGUGUGAUGAAGGGUUUCGGCUCGUAAAACACUGUUGUAAGAGAAGAAUGACAUUGAGAGUAACUGUUCAAUGUGUGACGGUAUCUUACCAGAAAGGAACGGCUAAAUACGUGCCAGCAGCCGCGGUAAUACGUAUGUUCCAAGCGUUAUCCGGAUUUAUUGGGCGUAAAGCGAGCGCAGACGGUUAUUUAAGUCUGAAGUGAAAGCCCUCAGCUCAACUGAGGAAUUGCCUUGGAAACUGGAUGACUUGAGUGCAGUAGAGGAAAGUGGAACUCCAUGUGUAGCGGUGAAAUGCGUAGAUAUAUGGAAGAACACCAGUGGCGAAGGCGGCUUUCUGGACUGUAACUGACGUUGAGGCUCGAAAGUGUGGGUAGCAAACAGGAUUAGAUACCCUGGUAGUCCACACCGUAAACGAUGAGUGCUAGGUGUUUGAGGGUUUCCGCCCUUAAGUGCCGCAGCUAACGCAUUAAGCACUCCGCCUGGGGAGUACGACCGCAAGGUUGAAACUCAAAGGAAUUGACGGGGACCCGCACAAGCGGUGGAGCAUGUGGUUUAAUUCGAAGCAACGCGAAGAACCUUACCAGGUCUUGACAUCCCUUGACAACUCCAGAGACGGAGUGUUCCCUUCGGGGACAAGGUGACAGGUGGUGCAUGGUUGUCGUCAGCUCGUGUCGUGAGAUGUUGGGUUAAGUCCCGCAACGAGCGCAACCCUUAUUACUAGUUGCCAGCAUUCAGUUGGGCACUCGAGUGAGACUGCCGGUGACAAACCGGAGGAAGGUGGGGAUGACGUCAAAUCAUCAUGCCCCUUAUGACCUGGGCUACACACGUGCUACAAUGGCGUAUACAACGAGUUGCCAACCCGCGAGGGUGAGCUAAUCUCUUAAAGUACGUCUCAGUUCGGAUUGUAGGCUGCAACUCGCCUACAUGAAGUCGGAAUCGCUAGUAAUCGCGGAUCAGCACGCCGCGGUGAAUACGUUCCCGGGUCUUGUACACACCGCCCGUCACACCAUGAGAGUUUGUAACACCCAAAGCCGGUGGGGUAACCUUCGGGAGCCAGCCGUCUAAGGUGGGACAGAUGAUUAGGGUG
This 1499-nucleotide ribosomal RNA is filed under the name Weissella confusa. RNAcentral describes it as "bacterial SSU rRNA". It matches the Rfam family "Bacterial small subunit ribosomal RNA". Lineage: Bacteria; Bacillati; Bacillota; Bacilli; Lactobacillales; Lactobacillaceae. The record is from RNAcentral.